CACUGAGCUCACCAACGAUGCUUGGCUGCGGUCUGGUCACUAGUGACUGUAAGACAUGUGUUUGCGCGUGUGAAUAAUAUACCUAAGCCUAAAAGCCUCUUUUGUAUAUAUGUUUGCCAUCAGAUGACGCUAGCGCAGCAUACACAUGCAGUCGAGGGGUAGAGUAUGCUUGCUUUUUGAGACCGGCGCACGGGUGAGUUAUCGCGUAUUGCACCUUACGUGGUACAGGGGAAUAGCCCAGAAGAAAUUCGGAUUAAUGCUCCAUGGUUUAUCGAUAUGGCAUCGUAUUGAUAAUAAAGAUUUAUCGGUAUAAGAUGGGCAUGCGUAUCAUUAGCUAGUUGGUGUGGUAACGGCAUACCAAGGCAACGAUGAUUAGGGGUCCUGAGAGGGAGAUCCCCCACACUGGUACUGAGACACGGACCAGACUCGUACGGGAGGCAGCAGUGAGGAAUAUUGGUCACAUGGAGGCAACUCUGAAYCAGCCAUGCCGCGUGCAGGAUGACGGUCCUAUGGAUUGUAAACUGCUUUUGUACAGGAAGAAACCUCCCUACGAGUAGGGACUUGACGGUACUGUAAGAAUAARGAUCGGCUAACUCCGUGCCAGCAGCCGCGGUAAUACGGAGGAUCCGAGCGUUAUCCGGAAUUAUUGGGUUUAAAGGGUUCGUAGGCGGCUUUGUAAGUCAGUGGUGAAAUUUCCUAGCUUAACUAGGACACUGCCAUUGAUACUGCAGAGCUUGAAUAAUAUGGAAGUAACUAGAAUAUGUAGUGUAGCGGUGAAAUGCUUAGAUAUUACAUGGAAUACCAAUUGCGAAGGCAGGUUACUACGUAUUUAUUGACGCUGAUGAAMGAAAGCGUGGGGAGCGAACAGGAUUAGAUACCCUGGUAGUCCACGCCGUAAACGAUGGAUACUARCUGUUCGGUUUUCGGACUGAGUGGCUAAGCGAAAGYGAUAAGUAUMCCACCUGGCGARUACGUUCGCAAGAAUGAAACUCAAAGGAAUUGACAGGGGCCCGCACAAGCGGUGGAGCAUGUGGUUUAAUUCUAUGAUACGCGAGGAACCUUACCACGUCUUAAAUGUAGAUUGACAGAUUUUGGAAACAGAUAUUUUCUUCGUGACAAUUUACAACGUGCUGCAUGGUUUGUCGUCAGCUCGUGCCGUGACGUGUCAUGUUAAGUCCUAUAACGAGCCGCAACCCCUAUUGUUACUUACCAUCUGCGUACUGCGGGGACUCUAGCAAGACUGACCGGUGCUAGACCGUGAUGAACGGUGGGGGAUGACGGUCGAAUCAUCACAGUCCCUUCACGUCCCUGUGACUACACACGGUGCUACAAUUGGCUAGUACAGAAAGGCAGCUUACUUGACCACCACGCAUUGCGAAUCUACAAAGCUGCUCAGUCGAAUUGAAGUCUGGACAAGCUCGACUCCUAAUGCAGCUGGGAUUCCACCCUCGGGA
Molecule: ribosomal RNA, 1454 nt
Filed under: Myroides sp. icri10
Lineage: Bacteria; Pseudomonadati; Bacteroidota; Flavobacteriia; Flavobacteriales; Flavobacteriaceae
Description: bacterial SSU rRNA
Rfam family: Bacterial small subunit ribosomal RNA
Source: RNAcentral